RNAcentral lists this ribosomal RNA (233 nucleotides) under uncultured bacterium. Its description in RNAcentral is "partial 16S ribosomal RNA". It matches the Rfam family "Bacterial small subunit ribosomal RNA", at positions 100 to 334 of the family's 1533-position model. The record is from RNAcentral.
CGGGACGGGUGAGUAAUGUCUGGGAAACUGCCUGAUGGAGGGGGAUAACUGCUGGAAACGGUAGCUAAUACCGCAUAACGUCGCAAGACCAAAGAGGGGGACCUUCGGGCCUCUUGCCAUCGGAUGUGCCCAGAUGGGAUUAGCUAGUAGGUGGGGUAACGGCUCACCUAGGCGACGAUCCCUAGCUGGUCUGGGAGGAUGGCCAGCCACACUGGAACUGAGACACGGUCCAG